This 465-nucleotide ribosomal RNA is filed under the name uncultured bacterium. Its description in RNAcentral is "partial 16S ribosomal RNA". It matches the Rfam family "Bacterial small subunit ribosomal RNA", at positions 28 to 507 of the family's 1533-position model. The record is from RNAcentral.
GACGAACGCUGGCGGCGUGCUUAACACAUGCAAGUCGAACGGAAAGGCCCUGCUUGCAGGGUACUCGAGUGGCGAACGGGUGAGUAACACGUGGGUGAUCUGCCCUGCACUUCGGGAUAAGCCUGGGAAACUGGGUCUAAUACCGGAUAGGAGCCAUUUUUAGUGUGAUGGUUGGAAAGUUUUUUCGGUGUAGGGUGAGCUCGCGGCCUAUCAGCUUGUUGGUGGGGUAAUGGCCUACCAAGGCGGCGACGGGUAGCCGGCCUGAGAGGGUGGACGGCCACAUUGGGACUGAGAUACGGCCCAGACUCCUACGGGAGGCAGCAGUGGGGAAUAUUGCACAAUGGGCGCAAGCCUGAUGCAGCGACGCCGCGUGGGGGAUGACGGCCUUCGGGUUGUAAACGCCUUUCGCUAGGGACGAAGCUUUUUGUGACGGUACCUAGAUAAGAAGCACCGGCUAACUACGUG